Molecule: ribosomal RNA, 461 nt
Filed under: uncultured bacterium
Lineage: Bacteria
Description: bacterial SSU rRNA
Rfam family: Bacterial small subunit ribosomal RNA
Source: RNAcentral
GACGAACGCUGGCGGCGUGCCUAACACAUGCAAGUCGAACGAAGAAUGUUUUUCGGAAUAUUCUUAGUGGCGGACGGGUGAGUAACGCGUGAACAAUCUGCCCCGUACAAAGGGAUAGCCUCGGGAAACCGGGAUUAAAACCAUAUAACACUUAACUGCCGCAUGGUAGUGAAGUCAAAUCGAGUAAGAGGUAUGGGAUGAGUUCGCGUCUGAUUAGCUAGUUGGUGAGGUAAGGGCUCACCAAGGCGACGAUCAGUAGCCGGCCUGAGAGGGUGAACGGCCACACUGGAACUGAGACACGGUCCAGACUCCUACGGGAGGCGGCAGUGGGGAAUAUUGCACAAUGGAGGGAACUCUGAUGCAGCGACGCCGCGUGAGUGAAGAAGGUCUUCGGAUCGUAAAACUCUGUCCUUGGUGAAGAAAGGACGGUAGCCAAGGAGGAAGCCCCGGCUAACUACGUG